AGAGAGCUGUGAGGGCAGAGAAAACAAUCAGCAGUCUGCAACCCAGCAGAGGGCCCUCACCAGAACUCAACCAUGCAGACACCCUGAUCUUGGACUGCUCAGCCUCCAGAACUGUAUGUUUGUGCAGCCUGCUGAAGGAAGCCAUAAGGAAUCCCUACUUCCAUUUUUAAUUAAGAUACUCAAAUAUCAUCUUGUAGAACUACAACUGUAUUCAAGAGGUACCUUCAACAUCUCUGUUCCUAUUUCAGUGAGCCUCAGGAUUCACUAUGGACUUCUCACCUCCUCCAUUUCAAUGAAUUUCUGUGAUUCGUAGGAUGCCCACAGCAACAGAUAAGAAAGCAGAUGCAGAAACCAAAAUACUUUUGCUCUGGGAUAAGAAGUCACAAUUAUUUCUCAUCAGUGCUGCUUCACUAGCUCCGAUUUUUUCCAGAGCUCUGGAGCCUGCUUGUUUACCUGGACUUAGAGGAGUUAAAAGUACUCGAUAAAUUAUAAAUGCCUGCAGGGAAAGACAAGAUGUUAAUCAAUUUGUAUUCUCUGAAUCUAGCUCAGUGCUUGAAUAAGGUGUCCAGUAAAAGCUGUAAAAAGAAUGCAUGUUGAAAUCUUGCUCCUGCGUGCCUUCGAUGAACUAUCUUGUGAACUUCCUGACUAAAGAGCAAUAUUAUGUAUAAGUACCUGGUUACUUAGCAGGACACUGAUUACUAACACUGUGUUUCUGACUAUGGCAAUAUGACCUGAAUUUAACUUGUAUAAUUGAAAAUUAAUAGCAUGGCUUGAAACAAUGCUUAAGCAUAAACACAAAAUUAACAUUUGUCAAACUAAACGGGAAAAGAAAAAAAAUAUAUUUUUUUAAUUUGUUCUGGUGAACAGAAUUCCUAACUUUUCUUUUUCUGCUUUUUCAAUAUUGCAAGUGAACAGAGAUUUCCUAGAGAGCAGUGGGAAAUAUAUAAAAUUAUAAAGUUUCAUGCUGAAUUUAAAUUUUGACCAGCUCCUAUAAUAUUUAUUAUUGUUGUGUGAAUUGCCUUGUAGCUAUGAAAACUGGUUUCUCAUUUGAAGGCAGCUCGUAGUCAGGAACUGAUUUUAUAAUUGAAGGCAUUAGGAAAUUCAACGUCAUUAGUGUAAUUAUGGAAAGGUGAUUCAUAGCUUUGGGAUAUUUUUCUUUGUUCAAAGAAGACAGUGUCUCUAGGAGACAAACAAAGUAGAUAGCUCAGUUUAAUGAAUAAAUAUUUGUGAAAUACUGAAAACUGAAAACUUUUGGUUAUAAGUGUAAGAAUUGUUCAUUGUGUAAAAAGAUGUACUUUUACAUAUAAUUAUUGAUAUUUUUCUCUAAAACGUAAAAUGUGAAAUGUGAUACAAAUAAUUUUUUGAAACAAUCAAUAGUAAGGAAAAUACAAUGCUUAAAACAGGCAGAGAAACCAAACAGUUACCUAAUAAAUUCUCACAUAAUAUCAUUUUUAAUAUUUGUUUUCCUCUUGAAGAAUAAGUAUCAUUUAUUAAGUAUCAUAAAAUAAAACAUUACUCACUGGCCUGGCCCGGUGACUCAUGCCUGAAAUUCCAGCACUUUGGGAGGCUGAGGAGGGCGGAUUGCUUGAGCCUGGAUUCGAAACCAGCCUGAGAAAGGUGGUGAGACCUCGUCUUUAUUAUUGUUUUUGUUUUUGUUUUAAAUUACUUGGAGCUUCUUUCUAAUGGCUUCCUUACUUUUAAAAAAGCCAAACAUUCCUUCAUUUAUACAAUGUGGUUCUAAAUUCCUUCUGCAAUUUAUUUUUAUUCCCUAAAAACAUGUAGAUAAUAGCUAUUAAUAAUAAGAAAUCUGAUUUUUCUUCUAUUUUGUAUCAGUCAAAAAUAUUAUUUUAAGAACAUAAUGAAAAGUAUUCAAUAUAUGGUUAUCAGAAUUUUUUACACAAUUUUAAAAUGAAGAAAUACCAUUCGUCUAAACUAGUAGAGGGAGAACAGUACUAGGGGAUUAAAUUAACGUCUUACUUUUCAUUAUUAGACACACUUACAUGAGAAAAGGCAAAUAAAGCAAAACAUAAGCAAAGAGACUCUUGCAAAAGUCAAUGUCUAUGACUUAAUUAGGAUAAGGCAAGUGAAGAGAAACAAAUGAAUAUAAAUAGCAGUUGUGUGCUUCCAUAUAAAAUAUAUGGAAACAAAUGACUACUGGUACUUUGCUCUCCAUUAGGAUAACAUGUAAAGACGCAAUCACCUUCAACACUCAAAUAAUAAAACCCAUAUUUUAUCCACACUCAGCUUCUAUCAAUCCCACUUCAUAAAUGCAUUUCAAACUCUUUCCACCCUCUGUAUCUUCACCACCACCACAUUCUUAGCUACCAUAAUUUCUAAUCUUGAGUAGUAAUGCAGUGCCCUGAUAAGAAGCAUUUUAUAGAGAAAAUGGAAAGAAGUUUGAAUAACUACUUAAUUAUCUUGACACAUACAUAAAUAAAUAAAUCUUAGACAAGGAUGAAUAUAAAAAAUAAUGUAUAAAUGUGUCUUAUAAGGCAUUUAGAUACAAAACCUAAAGGUCUUUUUACUUAAACCAGUCAAAAUGAAUAUAGAUAAUACUGCAUUUAGUCAACUAUAAAUGUACAUUUUUCUGCAUUUUUAACACCUCUGAAAUUGAGAUGUGUCAUAAUUAAUGCUAUUAUAAUUUGUAAAGUACGCUAACUCAAGUAGUUGCAUAUCAACUUGCGUUACCUGUUCUACCUGCUAACAUUUCCACCCAGAAGAAAUAUUUUAUUAUCAAAUGGCAGAAACAAUUUUCACAGUAGCCACAUAAAUAGGCUUUGGAUCACAAAAAUCAUAAAUUACUCCCGUGUUGACCUUCCACUAUCAAAAAAGUUUUAAACCCUCCCAGAAAGUUUAGUAGAAAGAGAAAGAGUCAACGGUACGGUGGUAAGAGCAUGCACUCUAAAUCAUGUUGCUUAGAAUAUAUACUAGAUGUGUCAAGUGGCAAGACACUUAACCCUCUGUGCCAACAAACUGCAGAUAACAAUAAUUAUUUCAAUGUAUUUUUGAAGAUUAACAGAUAUUACAUAUCACAAUGCUUAAUGAAUAAUAUGUACUCCAAUAAUUAUAUUAUAUUUUGAUGCUGAUUACUCAUGUUCAAAUGAGGAUUUAAGGCCUCAUUAGAAAUUUAGGCAAUUGGUUAAUCUACUUCUCUAUUCAAUCAACAUAUAGUCAGUGCUAUAUGUGCUGAAGGCACAGUAUUUUCCCUGCUUUAGAGUAGCAAUGUAAUGAGGGAACCAAAGUUAAAAAGCAAAAAGAAGUGAAUUUUAAUGUUGAUAAAAUCAUGCCAUACUAAGAAAUGUGCCUAUAUUAAGGUAAAGUAAUAAACUAUAAAGUUGUUUAACAACAUUUUUAUUCCACUUUUUUUCUUUCCAGUUCCUUAUUGAGUUAAAACUUGUAAAAACUGACAGGUUUGGGUGGCUCAUGCCUGUAAUUCCAGCAUUUUGUGAGGCCAAGGUGGGCAGAUCACCUGAGGUCAGGAGUCUGAAACCAGCCUGCCCAAUAUGGUAAAACCCUGUCUCUACUAAAAAUACAAAAAUUAGCUGGGCAUGGUAGCAUGCGCCUGUAGUCCCAGCUACUAAGGAAGCUGAAGAAGGAGAAUCACUUGAACCAGGGAGGAGGUGGUUGCAGUGAGCCGAGAUUGUGCCACUGCACUCCAGCCUGGGUGACACAGCAAGACUCCGUCGUUAAAAAAAAAAAAAAGCUAUUAACAUAAACUUCAUAGUGUUUUUUAAAGAAGCUACACAUACAAGUUCUUAGUUGCUUCCAAGUUUUUAAGUUUUCAUUUUUAAUUUCUGUAUUAAAAUGCUUUUACCCUGCUAUAAACAAUACCUGAGACUGGAUAAUUUAUAAUGGAAGCAGGUUUAUUUGACUCACGGUUCUGCAUAACUGAGGAGGCCUCAGAAGACUUACAAUCAUGGCAGAAGGUGAAGGGGAAGCAAGACAAGAAAGGCUCUCUCAUUUUUAAACCAUCAGAUUUCGUGAGAACUCAUUAUCAUUAGAACAGCAUGGAAGAAACUGCCACCUUAAACCAAUUGCCUCCCACCAGGCCUCUCCCUCCACAUGUGGGGAUUACAAUUAGAGAUGAGAUUUGGGUGGAGACACAGAGCCAAACCAUAUCAAUUUCCAAGACCUUAUCUUCUCUGUAUUUUGUGUAACAUAUAAGGUGCCCCAAUGUUACUUUUAGUUAAUGUUUACAUCACAUAAAAAGUUACUAGUCUUCUCUGAACAUGAACUUUAUAAGCAUAACAUUUUUAUCAACUUUGAAUGCACAUUUUAAUUUUACUAAGAGUUCCAUAUACCUUCAGUGUUUCUUCUAGAAAUAAGCCUAAAC
Molecule: long non-coding RNA, 4333 nt
Filed under: Homo sapiens (human)
Lineage: Eukaryota; Metazoa; Chordata; Mammalia; Primates; Hominidae
Description: HSALNT0019132
Source: RNAcentral